CGCCGCCCGGUCGCCAGGGAGAGUGAAUACAGCUAGGGACGUGAAAGCUGCAGUUGAGUGCUGCCACUUAAAUCCUGCAGUCCCGAGAUCCGGUUAUAACCAAUGCAUUUAGAUUUUUCAUUUCGGUGGCAACAAUCUUCAUUGUAAGUUCUGUCCUACAGAGAAGUGUGGUGAUCAAGCUCUUCGGAGAUACUGGGACUCCUCUCACAAAUGUAUGUCUCACAGUUAUGAUGAAUGGUGUAUCUCCUGGAUCUUCCUCAGUUGAGUAUGUUUUAAAGGAAAAAUACACUUUAUCAUUCAAAUCUUUCAAAGCUUUUGAAUCACUUUAUAGCAAACCAAUGAAGAUCCAGCAUUUCAUUCUUUCUUUUUUUUUUUUUUUUUUUUUGAGACAGAGUUUCACUCUUGUUGCCCAGGGGCUGGAGUGCAAUGGUGCGAUCUCGG
This 441-nucleotide long non-coding RNA is filed under the name Pan troglodytes (chimpanzee). RNAcentral describes it as "long non-coding RNA NONPTRT008423". Lineage: Eukaryota; Metazoa; Chordata; Mammalia; Primates; Hominidae. The record is from RNAcentral.